ACCAAGCAGCCUUGAGAUCUUAGGCAGCGUCUCCCUGAGGUCCCUCUCUAUCUCCCCACACAUCCACCAACCACUGGAACACAUCUCCAAAGUUCUGCCGGGCCAGCUCAGCUUCCCCUCAGAAGAAGUGCCGCCACCUGCCAGAUGAAGGAGCCUUUUGAGAGGCAGCUGGCAUCGUGAUUGGACUGUACUUUGGUCUGUUCCAAUCCAGCUUCAGCUCCAGAGACGGCAGGCGGGACGAGUCAACGGAGGCCGGGUGGACGAAGACCAAAGAACUACAGACUCUUCACAACCUACUCAAACUCUUGGUACAGGACCUCACCACACAGGUCAAGAAGGUUUCUGUCUCAUUUCUACUCUGAAGCUCACCUUCUCCU
Molecule: long non-coding RNA, 377 nt
Organism: Amphiprion ocellaris (clown anemonefish)
Lineage: Eukaryota; Metazoa; Chordata; Actinopteri; Pomacentridae
Source: Ensembl